This 703-nucleotide ribosomal RNA is filed under the name uncultured bacterium. RNAcentral's name for it is "bacterial SSU rRNA". It matches the Rfam family "Bacterial small subunit ribosomal RNA", at positions 574 to 1278 of the family's 1533-position model. The record is from RNAcentral.
GGCUGGCAUGUAAGUCAGAUGUGAAAUUUCGGAGCUCAACUCCGGAACAGCAUUUGAAACUGUGUGUCUAGAGGGUAGGCGGAGAAAAUAGAAUUCCACAAGUAGCGGUGAAAUGCGUAGAUAUGUGGAAGAAUACCAGUGGCGAAGGCGAUUUUCUAGCUUAUACCUGACGCUGAGGCGCGAAAGCAAGGGGAUCAAACAGGAUUAGAUACCCUGGUAGUCCUUGCCGUAAACUAUGUAUACUUGGUGUAAUCGGACUCAACCCUGAUUGUGCCGUAGCUAACGCGAUAAGUAUACCGCCUGGGGAGUACAGUCGCAAGGCUGAAACUCAAAAGAAUUGACGGGGACCCGCACAAGCAGUGGAGCAUGUGGUUUAAUUCGAUGCAACGCGAAGAACCUUACCCAGGCUUGACAUGCACAGGAAUAUAACAGAGAUGUUAUAGCUUUCGGGGCCUGUGCACAGGUGCUGCAUGGCUGUCGUCAGCUCGUGCCGUGAGGUGUUCGGUUAAGUCCAGCAACGAGCGCAACCCUUAUCAUUAGUUGCCAACAUUUCGGAUGGGAACUCUAAUGAGACUGCCUAGGUUAACUAGGAGGAAGGUGAGGAUGACGUCAAGUCCGCAUGGCCCUUAUGUCUGGGGCUACACACGUGCUACAAUGGUCGGUACAGAAGGCAGCAGAACCGCGAGGUGAAGCAAAUCCUGAA